ACCUCACCCCAAACUCGUUUCCCCUCCUACCGCUCCAGGGGCAUGCGUCCGUGGCUACCGCCAACCACAGUGAGGUGAGCUGCAGCAAGGCGAACCGAACCGCAGUACUGCAGACUCCAGCUUCCAGCAGGCGGCAGCUGGCUCUCCCGUCUUCUACUCCUCUAAGCCCAGCACCGAGGAGCACAGCCGACAGACACAGAAAAGCCUAGAAUGGAGUGCCUGCCCAACAGAGCCAUUUAUAUACUGAGGUUAUGCACAGAGGUUCCUGAACUACACAGUCUCAUUGGAUGAAAACAAGUCUGAGGCCAGCCAAUCAGAGCAUGAAAAUAAAACCCAAUCAGAGUAGGCCUAAAGGUUUCCUCUCAUCCAAUCAGAACAUGUAGUCCAGGAACCAUGGGCAAAACCUCAGUAUAUAAGGCAUGCUGAGGCUGCCUCACGCUGUUCCAGGCUCUUGUGUAUCUUCUAGCGGAGCCACUGUGUUCACGGCUUAGAGGAACAGGAGAAGGGGCGGCAGAGCCACCUACUGCACGCUGGAGGCUGCAGCCUGCUGUACCGCGGCUGGCCUCGCUGCAGUGGGUGGUGGUGACGGAAACUGCAGCGGCUGGAGCGGUACCUGGCCAAUGACGUGGAGGAGGUUGAUGAGGCCCCCAAACAAGCCAUCUUCCACUUCCUGUAUGGGAAGAACCGCUUCCAGUGACCCUUGUUCCAGAAGCUUCGGUUCCAGUUCUUCUGUUCCAUGCACUGGAGAGCUUGUGUUUCCCCAGAGGAGUUGGAGAAGAACACUGGACCCAGGGAAGAUGUGGAUUUUCAGCAGGAAGUUUAUUCCAAUGUUAAUGGCAGACACCAGGAAGGAAGAGAGGAACCAUUUGUGCAGAUCAUCUGGAAGAACCUAGAAGAACCUGGACUGUUCUAGAAGGAGCCGAAUAGAGUGAUUAUGCUGCCCUCCUAGGAGUGGUGGGUAGGGGGUACUUCUGGGCAUCCUUGGAGGACAGUGAGAAACCAGCGGUGUUUCUUGUUCCACCCCUUCCUGCAGCACCACCUCCCUUUUUAGAUUGCUGAAUUCUACCUCCCUGGGGUGGAACCUGGAGGUCCUGCUUCCUAUGGACUUGGUUGCCACAGUCCGGGAGCAUUUGAAGGCACAGUGCAGGUGCUCAGAUUGGCACAGAAUUAUUUGUAAAAUAUGAGUGCCACAGGAUUGUAACAGAUAGCUUCAUGCAUACUAUGCAUUUUGUUGGUUUGUUUGGAAAACGUCGGCCAUUGAAUUAUUAGUACAUUUAUUUCAGAUAGUUUGGAAAUUUUUAUACUUUUGAAGACAUGCUGCUCCUGUAGAGAUUUUUGAUGACAGUUAUAGCUGUUACAUAUACAUAAAUAUAAUUUUCUUUCCAUUUUUAAGAAGGUAUUUUGUUUAUCCUAAAUCUUUUAUUAUCUGUUAUUAUAUGUGCUCCUGAAGUGAACACUCUUUUUAUCUAUGAUGCUUAUGUAAUCUAUUAUAUCAUAUCUAUGUGGUAGUUCUCGUAAAUUCUUGUACUAGGAAUUUUUAUUUGCUGUUUCAUGUUUGUUACUGAAUUGUGAGAAUCCAGUUGUGAUUUUUAACAUAUCUUAGGUAUAUGUUAAUAGGUCUAAUAUAUACUAUACAUUUUAUUGGUUUAUUUUGAAAAAGGUGGGCAUAGAAUUCUUUUUUUUUUUUUUUUUUUUUUUUUUUUUUGAGAUGGAGUUUCGCUCUGGUUACCCAAGCUGGAGUGCAAUGGUGCGAUCUCGGCUCACUGCAACCUCCACCUCCUGGGUUCAGGCAAUUCUCCUGCCUCAGCCUCCCGAGUAGCCGGGAUUACAGGCACACGCCACCAUGCCCAGCUAAUUUUUUGUAUUUUUAGUAGAGAUGGGGUUUCACCAUGUUGACCAGGAUGGUCUCGAUCUCCUGACCUCGUGAUCCACCCACCUCGGCCUCCCAAAGUGCUGGGAUUAUAGGCUUGAGCCACUGCACCCAGCCCCUAGAAUUCUUACUGUAUUUAUUUUAAAUAGUUUGGAAAUCCUGGUAUUUUGAAAAGACAUUGUUCCUAUAGAGUUGUGUGAUGAGUGUUAUAGCUGUUAUAUACACAUAAAUAUAAUUUUGUUUUUCUUUUAAGAGAGGAUUAUUUUUAUCCUAAGUAUUUUAUCUUUAAAUCUUUGUAUGUAUUA
Long non-coding RNA from Callithrix jacchus (white-tufted-ear marmoset), 2175 nucleotides. NCBI's taxonomy places the organism in Eukaryota, Metazoa, Chordata, Mammalia, Primates, Cebidae. The record is from Ensembl.